GAGGGAAAGUUGAAAAGAACUUAGAGGUGAGAGUUCAACAGGGCGUGAAACUGCUUAGAAGUAAACGGAUAGUGCUGACAUUAUCUCUGUCGGAUUCAACUGGCCUUUUGGCAGUGUCAUUGACGGUGAUCGUGAAGACGCCGUGUGGUGAAUUUCUGCCUCAGGUUGGCGCAUUUCCGGCAGAGUGCAUUGUGACCGACAGCCUCGCUGGCAAACGGCGGGAGGAUUGCCGACUCUGGGUCUUCGGAUCCGCAGUGCCCCAUCCUCCAUGUCCUGACCGAGUUGUGGCUGUCGGAAACCUAACGCGCCCGCUUUGCUCGUAGUGCGUGGCCACUGGGUUGACCGAAUCUAUGCGCCUUGCUUGCAAGGUGCGUUAACCCUCGAUUCUCUUGGCUGCGUUCUUUCGAGUGGCGCUUAAGGUCUACGAUGUCCGCGUCAGUCCCCUAUCCGACCCGUCUUGAAACACGGACCGCGAAGUCUAACAUGUGCGCAAGUCAAUGGGUGGCAAACCCAAAGGCGAAAUGAAAGUAAAGGCCGCAAGGCCGAGGUGUGAUGUCUGGCUUGACCGGAUCGCAACACCGCCCCAUCACAUCGGCAUGUCCGAGUGGUGGAGGAAGAGCGUACAUGUUAGGACCCGAAAGAUGGUGAACUAUGCCUGAGCAGGAUGAAGCCAGAGGAAACUCUGGUGGAGGUCCGAAACGGUUCUGACGUGCAAAUCGAUCGUCAGACUUGGGC
RNAcentral lists this ribosomal RNA (735 nucleotides) under Paratrichodorus ramblensis. RNAcentral describes it as "LSU rRNA". It matches the Rfam family "Eukaryotic large subunit ribosomal RNA", at positions 355 to 916 of the family's 3401-position model. The record is from RNAcentral. Lineage: Eukaryota; Metazoa; Nematoda; Enoplea; Triplonchida; Trichodoridae.